Molecule: long non-coding RNA, 8634 nt
Filed under: Daucus carota (carrot)
Lineage: Eukaryota; Viridiplantae; Streptophyta; Magnoliopsida; Apiales; Apiaceae
Description: long non-coding RNA (DCAR_LNC007677)
Source: RNAcentral
UUCGUCAGUUUCUCUGCACGAAUACCGAGAGAAGACGAACGGGUGUUCUUCGUGUUCUUCAUAUUCAAACGAGGAUUUGAAGGCGUUAUUGGAAUCCGAUGGAGGCGUAUAAAUAGUCAAAACGAAGCUCUCGACGCGUAGAAUCUAUUGUAGUCAUCAAUAUCAGCGCUGAAUCGACAGGUUUUUGCUAAAUAAGCUUUUUAAUUUCGAAUUAUAUUAUUUCAAAAGAUGAAUUUUCGUAAAUGAUAUUGUUUGAUUGAUUUGAUGAUUCCAUGUUGUAGAGCAUCUCCUGCCAUUCGUUUUCAUAUAUUAUAUGUCGAUUUUUGACUUCCGUAACAUAUAGAAACAAGGGUUUGAUUCUUGAGAUGUGUUCUUGAAUGUUCUUGAGUGUUCUUGAAUAUUUUUAAUUGAAAUUUGGGGGAUUCUUUUCUGUUGAUUCUGGGUAGAAAUUGAAGCUACUGGAACGUUCAGGAGGAUGAGGGGAUGUUGUACGUGUGAUCAGAUGUGGUGUGGAGUGCCGGGAAGUCGGCCGCCGGAGUUUCGAAAGAAACUCGCCUCCGGCGAGUUUAAUGUUGAAAUUCCGGCGAACUCCCACGGUUUUUAGCGUUUCCGAGUGCAUGUACAAGUUCCUGGCAGUGGUUAGGAUGAUUCUGGAGCAUCUGGUGCGUUUCUGGGCGGGUUUAAGUCGCCGUCGGCGUUUUCCGGGGGGUGCCGCUGCAAAAGUGCAGUUUGGUACCCCAACUUUUAAAGAUGAUGAAGUCAUCAUACCCAAGUUUUGAAUCUUACAAAACAUCCCCUGUAACUUUGAAAAGUUGCAGUUUGAACCCUGGACAAAACUUUCAAAAGUUUACAAAAUAAACCUUUUGAUUUUAAUUUUCAGAAAUUGUUUUAUUUAAUUAUUUUAAAUUCCAAAAAUAGUUUUUAAUUAUUUCUUUAUUUAAAAAAUAAAUCUAAAUUAGUUUGUUAAUUAAUUUUAAUUAGUAAUUAAUUAUUUUAAUUGGUCAAUUAAUUUAAAUAUUAAUUGAUUAAUUAAUUUAGUUAAUUAUUAAUAGAUUUUAAUUGAUUAACUAAUUAGAUUUAAUUGUUCCUUUUGAUUUAAAAAUUCCGAAAAAUAGUUUCGAGCUUUGAAUUAUUUUUUUCUAAAAUAUGUUUGAGGCUCGUUAAUUGAUUUCAAAUGAUUUUGGACCCGAUCUUGAGCAAUCGGACUUGAUUAUUUAUUCAAAAAUGGAUUCUUUUACCUGUUUUAAUUCCGAAAAAUGUCUAGAAAUUCCAGAAAAUUCCUGAAAAAUCAUUUUUAACCUGAGACUUGAUUUGAUAUCAAUUGGGAUGGGAAACCUUAUAUGAAAAAUGUUGUCUGCUAUCUGUUUGAUAUGUUAUGUACCGAUAGGAGAGUUAGAAAACGGUCUUGCUCAUAACUUUUGACUCGUAAUUCAGAAUAGAGUGAAACGAAAAAGAGAUUAAAGCUUAUAAAGUCUAUUUUAAUGUGACAUAAUAAUAUGGUGGAGUAUAGAAUGUGAAUAAUUGUUGUUAAAUGUAUAGAAUAUGAUUAUAUGUGAUCUAAUUGCUAUUAAUUGAUGAUUGCAUGGACUAUCUGGUUGUUCUAGUAUUACAUACAUGUGAUAAAUGAUUAAAUGACAUAGUGUCGUGUCUUGAUAGAUGUCGGAUAAAAGCAUAUGGAUUAUAGUGAUUGGAUUUGGUUGGUUGAUUGUUGAUUGAGAUAGGAUAACAGGUGGAUAGUCUAAUAAAUAGACGAGACGAUGUCAGAUUUUCGAUAAGAUUUAUAUGAUAUUUAAUUGAUAAUAUGUUAUGUGGAAUAUGAUUAGACUAUAUGGUAGAGUCAAAGCAUGAUUAUGUGUUAAGUGAUAUUUGAUGAGUUUAAAGAGUUAUAUAAGUGGGUAUCGAUAUACGUGAUAUGUAUAUGCGAUAGGUUAUGCUACCGAGUUGAUAAGUAGAGAUAAGAAUCAAUAGAUUAUUUAGUGAUAAUGGUAGUAUCUUAUUCUCGUAAAGGGUUUGGACGAGACGGAUACGAUCGAAGACGUUCAGAAGGUCAAACGAUGUUACAAAGCGAAUAAGGAACGAAUCGAGUAAACGAAGCAGUGUGGCGAAUAGAGUAUAGCCAAAGAUGGUCUAGAGACUAUGAUAUGCAUAGAGUGUGAAAGUGGAAAGAUGAGAUUGAGAUAUGAGACUGGAAUCGGAUUUAAGGCAAGUUUCCUAAAUCCUUCCUCAUAUAUAUGUUGCAUGCUCUGANNNNNNNNNNNNNNNNNNNNNNNNNNNNNNNNNNNNNNNNNNNNNNNNNNNNNNNNNNNNNNNNNNNNNNNNNNNNNNNNNNNNNNNNNNNNNNNNNNNNNNNNNNNNNNNNNNNNNNNNNNNNNNNNNNNNNNNNNNNNNNNNNNNNNNNNNNNNNNNNNNNNNNNNNNNNNNNNNNNNNNNNNNNNNNNNNNNNNNNNNNNNNNNNNNNNNNNNNNNNNNNNNNNNNNNNNNNNNNNNNNNNNNNNNNNNNNNNNNNNNNNNNNNNNNNNNUAUAGAUUAUCCAAAGGACAAGUGGAAUGUUCAGGGAGAUUGUCAAGGUUGGUUCUAGAUAGAAUUGUUGAAAUUCAGUUGUAAUCAUAAUUGAUAUAGAUUGGCAGUGAUUCUUCUUAUCGAAGAUGAUCUGAGUUUGGAAGACAUAGUUUAUUGAUAGUGGUUGAUUCUAAUUUCAAUACUGUAACCUGGAUGCGAUCCUGUUUUUAGGGGGUUAAAGUGUUUUCUUUUAAAUCUUUUACUAAAGUUUUCAGGUUUUAAAUCCUUUGAUUUUAUUACCUUUUUCAGAAAUACAGGUUUUCAAAAGUGUUUUAGAAUGAUUUUGUGUGGUGACGUCAGAAUCCAGACCCCCGGAUUCUCGGGCUGUCACAGUUGGUAUCAGAGCAACAGGUUAUAAGUUAUUGAAAUUAGAAUAUAGAUUGUAGUUAUAAGUUUUAUAGAAGAGAAGUGUUCAGUGACCUCAUAUAGAGGUAUUGUGAGACUGUCUAGGGAUAGUCUAGAGAGGUAAUCGGAAUAGAAUUUAGAUAGUUAAUUAAGUUGAGGGUGAAUGUUUAGAUGGAUCAUGGUUCCUAAGCCUAGACACUUGGUUUCUAGUAUGUGGACUGAUUGAGAUAGUGAAUUGUGAUAAGGGUCAGAGUCAGACCUAGUCAAAAGAGUAUUAAUAAUGAAUGAUUAAGUUAAGAAUGAUAAAGAUGCAUGGUUUGGAGUAUUCUGACCAUGUUACAUAUUUGAAAGUGGUUUAUCGUUGGAUUGAGAUGUAGAAGAAUGAGUGUUGAAUAUGAGAUAUAUUGGAUUAGAAAGAGAGUUUUGUAGAUAGAUGAGAUGUGAAUGAUAGAGAGUAGGUGGAAUUGAGUCUAGUUAUCAGAAGUGAUGUUGUGAGUGAGAUAGAACGUUAGUCUUCAACGACGACGCUUCGAGCUAAACGGGAAUUCAUCUGAUAUCAAGAUAAGCCAACUUCAUUGCGAAUGACAACGUCUACAAGAAAAUCUUGCGAGGUUAUCACAAGCGAGAACGUCGAGAAGAAGACAUACAUCGAACAUCGAUCUAUGGGAGCAGAGCAAGAAAUUCAGAAGACCUUGGCAAUAUCUUCUUCAACAAAAGCUUAUUUUAACUCUUUUUAUCAUCAUUGAGCCCUUAUAUCUUUUCUACAAAAGUUUUGAUAAAUGAGAUUUUCUAUUUCUCGAAUGACGAGAAAACAUUAGUAUUGAUUAGUGAUAUGAGUGGAAUUGAUUCUUGGUGUGAGAUAUAGGUUGUCGUGAAAAGACAAUGAUAUUUCUUGACAUUCCUUGAUAUUAUUUGAUAUACCUUGAUAUCUCCUGAUAUUCUUUGGUAUUCCUUGAGAUUCCUUGGUAUUCCUUCCAUCUGAUUGGGAUGAACAACCCUAUUUAUAGGGGACACAAGGUAAACCUGUCUGUGUGAUAGGAGUUGGAUGGGACGCCAUCACUUGUGUGUGUUGUGAUUACAAGAAGGUUAACGACCUUUAGUAGUGUCUAAUAUGGGCACGCAACACUAAGUUCGUUUGAUCAUAUUGAUCUCUCAGUCACUCUCUUAUUCAAACAUGACCUAUUUUGAAAACAUUUUGUUCCAUUCUAAGUUCUUAAAGAGUGAUUCUAAGAACUGAGCUCUGUAAUGGUGAAAGUUUUAAUACUCUUAUUUGUUUCAAAGUCAAAGGUAUGCCAAGGUCGAACGAAGGUGGGAGGAUGAUAGUACGAAGGAUGUACAUUUUCAUUCUCUUCGCGGAUUCUGAGGACAGAAUCCUUAUAAGGGGGGUAGAAUGUAACAUCCCGGAUUUUCAGAAUUAGUUUAUUAAUAUAGAAAUAAGUUUUUGAAUAUUAUUGGCUUUAAUUGAGUUUUCUGAUAAGAUGAAUGGUCUGAGUAUAAUUUUGAUGUGGAAUUAUAAGGUUAAAGACGGAAGAUGCAUUCUUCUGUUGUGAUUUCGUUUAUUUUAGCGACCCGGAUUUUUUCAAAAAUUGUUUAUCGUUAUGAAAGUGGUUUUCUUAGAAAGAAAGGAAUAAAGUUUAAUAUUUUAUUCCAGUUUAAGGUAUUUUCAAAAUUGUAUAUUUAAAUUCCGGGUUAUUGUGUUAUCAAUACAGGGUUGUCUUUUCAAAAUUUUAUUUUAUAUAAUUGAUUUUAAAGAUUUAAAAGAUUGCUAUUGUUACAUGGCUAAGUGUUGCAUGUGGAAUUGUGAGUUUAGUUAGUUAUGAUAAUUUAAUGUGAAUAUUGCAUGAAUUUGGUGUAAAUUGAUUUUCUGUAAUUGUUACUUAUAUGUGCCAGAACUGUGAGUUUAAUUAUUGAUAUUAUCAGAAUGAGUCAUAUGUUAUUUAGAUAUUUUUAAAUGAUUUAUAUAUGGAUAUAUAAAUAUCCUUUCAAAACUUAUUUCAAAUAUUAUUUCUGAAAAUACAGAGAUGGGUUAUGCAAAAGUUAGAUGGUUGAUAUGUGAAUGUAUGUAUUACAUGAUUAAGUGUUACGUGUGUAAUGGUCGUGUAACCAGUUAUGGUUAUUUACGAAUAUUAUUUGAAUAUUUGGUAAAUUAUUUGAUAACUAGUUUUCUAUUUUGAUUGCUUAUAUAUGUUGCAAUCGCGAGUUUUCAAUUUUCAUAUUCUCAGAAUAAAAUAUGGAACAUUUGGGUAUUUUCCUGAUAAUUUAUGAAUAGUAUGUGAUAUUUAUAUGAAUAUCUGUGAGGUUUGUGUUAUCGGGUUUAUUGAAUUGACUGUUCAUAUGUGUUCGGAUUUGAGAUAUUUUAAUUUCUAUAUGAUCAGGAUAAAAUAUAGUUUAUUUAGAUAUGUUCAUAUCAAUUUUUGGAUUGCUACGUGAUUUUAUGAUCGAUUUGUGAAUUUAAUUUCGUUUAAUUAUUAUUUAUAUUUAAAUAGUUAUUUAACAUUUUAAACCCCGUGGGCGUUCGGGAAAAUUUCGCCAUUAGGCUAUUUGGGACAUUCUGAGCAUUUCUCGUGUUUUAACUUUUUCAAUCCGGAGUACGGUUUGCCCCGUAAAUGGUCCGGUACGGUUUUAUUAAUAUUUUUAAAGUUAAUAAUUAUCUGGUUGUCUCGUAAUGCGUGAAGCAUAUUCCAGGAAUAUUCCAAAGCAUAUUCAAGGAAUAUUCCAAAGCAUAUUCAAGGAAUAUUCUCUUAUCUUCUUCUAUAAAUAUCCUUUACCAGUUUAUCUCGCACGUACAAUCAUUUCGUCAGUUUCUCUGCACGAAUACCGAGAGAAGACGAACGGGUGUUCUUCGUGUUCUUCAUAUUCAAACGAGGAUUUGAAGGCGUUAUUGGAAUCCGAUGGAGGCGUAUAAAUAGUCAAAACGAAGCUCUCGACGCGUAGAAUCUAGUUUAAUCAACCGUAACACUGCAGAUUUCACGGGUAAAUUAUUAUUAAUUUUCGAAAAUUCGAAUUAUUAAGAUUUAAAUAGUGAAUUUUUGCAAACGUGAUUAUUUGAUUAAUUUGAUGAUUCCAUGUUGUAGAGCAUCUCUUGCCAUUCGUUUUCAUAUAUUAUAUGUCGAUUUUUGACUUCCGUAUCAUAUAGAAACAUGGGUUUGAUUCUUGAGGCUGUGUUCUUGAGUGUUCUUGAAGCUUUUUAAUUGAAAUUUGGGGGUUUCUUAUUCUGUGAAUCUGGGCAGUUUUUGAUGUUAUGUAUGUGUUCAUCUUGAUGAGGGGAGUCGAGGGAUGUGAUCGAAAUCAGUGUGAGAGCUCGGAUGAGAGCUCGAUGGUGUUUCAAAGCUUCGCCGGCGGCGAAGUUGUGAUUGGAAUUUUCUACCGUUUCGUUGCAUGUUUGUUGAUUUUAACUACAUAUAUAGGUUCCUGGUAGUGUGUGUAUGUAAUCUGGACAGUUGGGUGGAGUUUGGUGGCCGGGAACGAGUUUUCCGGCGAGUUAGAAGGUGGCCGGCGGCUUAUUGCUGUUUGGUCACCGAAGUUAUGAAGGUGGUGAAGUUUCUGCACCGGAGUUUGCAUUCUGACAGAUUGGCCCCUGUAACUUUGAAAAGUUACAGUUUAAACCUUGGACCAAAACUUUCAAAAGUUUACAAAAUAAACCUUUUGAUUUAAUUUUCUAAAAUUGUUUUAUUUAAUUAUUUUAAAUUUCAAAAAUAGUUUUUAAUUAUUUCUUUAUUCAAAAAUAAAUCUAAAUUAGUUUCUUAAUUAAUUUUAAUUAGUAAUUAAUUAUUUUAAUUGGUCAAUUAAUUUAAAUAUUAAUUGAUUAAUUAAUUUAGUUAAUUAUUAAUUGAUUUUAAUUGAUUAAUUAAUUAGAUUUAAUUGUUCCUUUUGAUUUAAAAAUUCCGAAAAAUAGUUUCGAGCUUUGAAUUAUUUUUCUAAAAUAUGUUCGAGGCUCGUUAAUUGAUUUCAAAUGAUUUUGGAUCCGAUCUUGAGCAAUCGGAAUUGAUUAUUUAUUCAAAAAUGGAUUCUUUUACCCGUUUUAAUUCCGAAAAAUGUCUAGAAAUUCCAGAAAAUUCCCGAAAAAUCAUUUUUAACCCAAGACUUGAUUUGACAUCAAUCGGGAUGGGAGACCUUAUAUGAAAUAUGUUGUCUGCUAUCUGUUUGAUGUGUUAUGUGCUGAUAAAGAGUAAGAAAACAGUUUUGUUCAUAACUUUUGACUCGUAAUUCAGAAUGGAGUGAAACGAAAAAGAGAUUAAAGCUUAUAAAGUCUAUUUUAAUGUGACAUAAUAAUAUGGUGGAAUAUAGAAUGUGAAUAAUUGUUGUUAAAUGUAUAGAAUAUGAUGAUAUGUGAUCUAAUUGCUAUUAAUUGAUGAUUGCAUGGACUAUCUGGUUGUUCUAGUAUUACAUACAUGUGAUAAAUGAUUAAAUGACAUAGUGUCGUGUCUUGAUAGAUGUCGGAUAAAAGCAUAUGGAUUAUAGUGAUUGGAUUUGGUUGGUUGAUUGUUGAUUGAGAUAGGAUAACAGGUGGAUAGUCUAAUAAAUAGACGAGACGAUGUCGGAUUUUCGAUAAGAUUUAUAUGAUAUUUAAUUGAUAAUAUGUUAUGUGAAAUAUGAUUAGACUAUAUGGUAGAGUCAAAGCAUGAUUAUGUGUUAAGUGAUAUUUGAUGAGUUUAAAGAGUUAUAUAAGUGGGUAUCGAUAUACGUGAUAUGUGUAUGCGAUAGGUUAUGCUACCGAGUUGAUAAGUAGAGAUAAGAAUCAAUAGAUUAUUUAGUGAUAAUGGUAGUAUCUUAUUCUCGUAAAGGGUUUGGACGAGACGGAUACGAUCGAAGACGUUCAGAAGGUCAAACGAUGUUACAAAGCGAAUAAGGAACGAAUCGAGUAAACGAAGCAGUGUGGCGAAUAGAGUAUAGCCAAAGAUGGUCUAGAGACUAUGAUAUGCAUAGAGUGUGAAAGUGGAAAGAUGAGAUUGAGAUAUGAGACUGGAAUCGGAUUUAAGGCAAGUUUUCCUAAAUCCUUCCUCAUAUAUAUAUUGCAUGUUCUGAUUAUUCUGUCAAGAUUAUGAUAUUGUUUAUACUGAAACCCUUCUCAAAUAAACUCUUACUUCUGAGCAUGAAACCCAUGAUUGUUUUCUUCUUCCAAGUUUUGAAAAUCCAAACACCUAAUUACUCUCAAUUUCUAUUACAAGUAUUCUGAUCCAUUCUUUCCAAUCCUCAAGAUAUUAAAAAUACCAGCUUUACAAAUUAAUUCGAAGUUCAGACCGUCAUUGAAGCAUGUGUUGCUCAGUGAUAGUUAGAACCUAGAAUGAACUGGGAUCUUCUUGAUUAUUCAACCCGCCAUUGUCAUGCUGGUUUAGCAGGCUAAAUUCAGUUGCUUAGCCGAUAAUGGAGGAUACUGAAUAGUUAGGAAUUUCCUGAACUAUGAUUUAUCAAAAGACAGACUGUGGUUUAUGAAAUGUUGAUUCCCAAAAGUUGAUUUGAAAUAUUUCUGUUGCUGAUAAUGAUUAUGAUUCUGUUCUGUUGAUUCAAUUGUCUGUUGAUUUAAAUUGUUAGAAUUGGAUUAGUUUUUAUAAAAUAUGUGGACCAGAUUCGUGGUCAGACCAGAUUCGUGGUCAAUUAUAGGCCAAUGUGUGCCUUGGAUCCAGUAUAGAGAACAGGGCUGUGUGCCAUGUUCGGGGUUAGUGCGUGACUGAUCAGCAGCCUAACCUUUGGUUUUUAAGUAAAAAUGUGAUGAAUCCAAUUCGACAAUUC